UGCAACAUCAGUUUUACAGACUUACAGUAUUUAAUAAGCUGUCAUUAAUUGCAUUGCACAUUACAUGGUUGUGCUCUGUAAAUGAAAAACAGGUUAACAGUAUUCCUAAUAGCUAUGAAGUUUUAUUAGCAACCUGGAUUGAACACAGCAGGUGAUACAACAUUCGUAACAACCACGAGAGACUUGAGACUUGACUUGGACUCUAGCUCAAAGACUUGUGAGCAUCUCUGGCUCAUCCACACUACACCCCUGUUGUGGUGCUACUGAAUCUCCCCACUACCUUGUGUUCUUUUGUUCCCCCCUUCCCUGUGUUUUCUGUCUGUCCUCCCUGUCUGUGUCUGUCUGGGUGUGGCUACACUCCCUGGCUCCAGCAGCGCACCUGGCUCUCAUUCCACUAAUCAAGCUCCUGCAGUAUUUCAACCCCAGUCCUCCUCAUAUUCUUCGCCAGAUCGUCAGUUAACCACAUGUGGAUCACACUACCUCCGGGAAACCUGCUGAACGCCACACUCCGCUCUGCUCCUAUCUUGCCUGGACUAACUCCCCUCCUCUGUGUUCUCCAUUCUGCCCUGUUGGAUCCAACCACCCAGUCCUCUGUUGCACCUUUCAAUAAAACCCCUUUGUUACCCCUUCGAA
Long non-coding RNA from Micropterus dolomieu (smallmouth bass), 633 nucleotides. RefSeq lists it as uncharacterized. The record is from RefSeq and is a predicted model, not a curated record. Lineage: Eukaryota; Metazoa; Chordata; Actinopteri; Centrarchiformes; Centrarchidae. The transcript is spliced from 2 exons.